RNAcentral lists this ribosomal RNA (369 nucleotides) under uncultured bacterium. RNAcentral describes it as "bacterial SSU rRNA". It matches the Rfam family "Bacterial small subunit ribosomal RNA", at positions 527 to 896 of the family's 1533-position model. The record is from RNAcentral.
AGAGSUUWYAAGCGUUAUCCGGAUUUAUUGGGCGUAAAGCGUUUCGUAGGCGGAUUUUUAAGUUACCCUUCAAAGACUACGGCUUAACCGGAGGAAGGGGGGUAAUACUGAAAGUCUUGAUUUUUAGUGGGGUAUCUGGAACUGAUGGUGUAGUAGUGAAAUACGUUGAUAUCAUCAGGAACUCCGAGGGCGAAGGCAGGAUACUAACUAUCAUAUGACGCUGAGGAACGACAGCUAGGGGAGCGAAAGGGAUUAGAGACCCCUGUAGUCCUAGCUGUAAACUUUGCUCGCUAGGGAUUUGGGAYKUAUUCCGAGUUCCGUAAGCUAACGCGUUAAGCGAGCCGCCUGGGGAGUACGACCGCAAGGUUA